RNAcentral lists this ribosomal RNA (690 nucleotides) under Xanthomonas sp. Its description in RNAcentral is "bacterial SSU rRNA". It matches the Rfam family "Bacterial small subunit ribosomal RNA", at positions 34 to 711 of the family's 1533-position model. Lineage: Bacteria; Pseudomonadati; Pseudomonadota; Gammaproteobacteria; Lysobacterales; Lysobacteraceae. The record is from RNAcentral.
CGCUGGCGGCAGGCCUAACACAUGCAAGUCGAACGGCAGCACAGUAAGAGCUUGCUCUUAUGGGUGGCGAGUGGCGGACGGGUGAGGAAUACAUCGGAAUCUACUCUUUCGUGGGGGAUAACGUAGGGAAACUUACGCUAAUACCGCAUACGACCUACGGGUGAAAGCGGAGGACCUUCGGGCUUCGCGCGAUUGAAUGAGCCGAUGUCGGAUUAGCUAGUUGGCGGGGUAAAGGCCCACCAAGGCGACGAUCCGUAGCUGGUCUGAGAGGAUGAUCAGCCACACUGGAACUGAGACACGGUCCAGACUCCUACGGGAGGCAGCAGUGGGGAAUAUUGGACAAUGGGCGCAAGCCUGAUCCAGCCAUGCCGCGUGGGUGAAGAAGGCCUUCGGGUUGUAAAGCCCUUUUGUUGGGAAAGAAAAGCAGUCGGUUAAUACCCGAUUGUUCUGACGGUACCCAAAGAAUAAGCACCGGCUAACUUCGUGCCAGCAGCCGCGGUAAUACGAAGGGUGCAAGCGUUACUCGGAAUUACUGGGCGUAAAGCGUGCGUAGGUGGUGGUUUAAGUCUGUUGUGAAAGCCCUGGGCUCAACCUGGGAAUUGCAGUGGAUACUGGGUCACUAGAGUGUGGUAGAGGGUAGCGGAAUUCCCGGUGUAGCAGUGAAAUGCGUAGAGAUCGGGAGGAACAUCC